AUGUGGUGGCCCCAGGCACCCACAUGGUGGGGUUUGUACCGUGGAAAGCCAGGGAUCACAACAGCUGGCUAAGAAUUCCCACUGCAGCAUGUACACAAAGAGCAAGAGGCAACGCCUUGAAAAAUUUACAGUAGGAAAGACAGACCCUAAGGAAUGGGACUUACCAUAUACGAGGUUCAGCAGCCAUGAAACCACCCACUCUGAGAGCACAACCGGUCUCAACUGCCUUGGCGACUUUUAAACUACACUGAACAUUAUAGUCAUUCAGAAACUCUAAAAAACGGAAAGAAAUUUUCAUCUCAGACUUACAAAAACCAUUUCCAGAAGUGCUGAGGACCCAUACAAUUCACUGGGGGGGCACGGCGGGCUCGCUGUCCAGCCCCCGCUGCCCCAGCAAUUUCUGGCCCUGGUUUGCACGUACGCAGAGCCAGGCACAGGCGUUAGGACCUCUCCCAGCUGGAGCACUUCAUGGAUCCUACCAUCGGGAACAGCCGUCCUGGACAAUGAUUAAUCGCAGACAAAGAUCAGAGUCCUGGAAAAAUAUGCAGAGAGAUGCAAGUACAGACAAAGCUGUCUAAGCUCCCACAGUAUUAUGGUCUGGCUGUGUCGCUUCAAAGCCUUGCGUUAGGCAGAGCUGGUUUGCUUCAGGGUUAAACAGACCAAUGUUACUCGUAAAUGCAGGUAUUGCUAACAGCCAAAUAUAUAUUUAAACAUAAAUUUUAAAUCCCAGGAAAGUUAAUAGCCCGAUGCCGUUUAAAACUUGCUUUCUUUUUAAUCGCUUCACGUGCUGACUUAACUCACUACGAUGCAAGCUGCAGAAUCGUUUUCACUACAGUUCAAACCCCCCUGCAAAGCCGAGCCCAGCUCUGCGCCGUACUUUGAUCUACACGUCGCCAGCUUCGGCCAUUUCCAGGAAGCUGAAAUGCUUUUCACCUCUAUUGAGAAAUACCAGAGGAGCAUUUUAAUGGUGUUCUGCUAAGAAUAACGUCACCGUUCCUUCCGAUUUUGCUGGCAGAUGGUCACUGAGAGCCGCUGUGACCCAGGCUCAGCGCUGGCUCCAGCGGCUCGGGCGGCCCCGGCCCGGGAGCCCCCGACGGGGCUCACAGCGCUGAGGCAGCGCUUCAGAGCCAGCGCU
Long non-coding RNA from Pipra filicauda (Wire-tailed manakin), 1135 nucleotides. RefSeq lists it as uncharacterized. NCBI's taxonomy places the organism in Eukaryota, Metazoa, Chordata, Aves, Passeriformes, Pipridae. The record is from RefSeq and is a predicted model, not a curated record. The transcript has 3 exons.